UCAGGAUGAACGCUGGCGGCGUGCUUAACACAUGCAAGUCGAACGGGAUCCAUCAGGCUUUGCUUGGUGGUGAGAGUGGCGAACGGGUGAGUAAUGCGUGACCGACCUGCCCCAUACACCGGAAUAGCUCCUGGAAACGGGUGGUAAUGCCGGAUGCUCCGACUCCUCGCAUGGGGUGUCGGGAAAGAUUUCAUCGGUAUGGGAUGGGGUCGCGUCCUAUCAGGUAGUCGGCGGGGUAACGGCCCACCGAGCCUACGACGGGUAGCCGGCCUGAGAGGGCGACCGGCCACAUUGGGACUGAGAUACGGCCCAGACUCCUACGGGAGGCAGCAGUGGGGAAUAUUGCACAAUGGGCGCAAGCCUGAUGCAGCGACGCCGCGUGCGGGAUGACGGCCUUCGGGUUGUAAACCGCUUUUGAUCGGGAGCAAGCCUUCGGGUGAGUGUACCUUUCGAAUAAGCACCGGCUAACUACGUGCCAGCAGCCGCGGUAAUACGUAGGGUGCAAGCGUUAUCCGGAAUUAUUGGGCGUAAAGGGCUCGUAGGCGGUUCGUCGCGUCCGGUGUGAAAGUCCAUCGCUUAACGGUGGAUCUGCGCCGGGUACGGGCGGGCUGGAGUGCGGUAGGGGAGACUGGAAUUCCCGGUGUAACGGUGGAAUGUGUAGAUAUCGGGAAGAACACCAAUGGCGAAGGCAGGUCUCUGGGCCGUUACUGACGCUGAGGAGCGAAAGCGUGGGGAGCGAACAGGAUUAGAUACCCUGGUAGUCCACGCCGUAAACGGUGGAUGCUGGAUGUGGGGCCCGUUCCACGGGUUCCGUGUCGGAGCUAACGCGUUAAGCAUCCCGCCUGGGGAGUACGGCCGCAAGGCUAAAACUCAAAGAAAUUGACGGGGGCCCGCACAAGCGGCGGAGCAUGCGGAUUAAUUCGAUGCAACGCGAAGAACCUUACCUGGGCUUGACAUGUUCCCGACCGCUCCAGAGAUGGGGCUUCCCUUCGGGGCGGGUUCACAGGUGGUGCAUGGUCGUCGUCAGCUCGUGUCGUGAGAUGUUGGGUUAAGUCCCGCAACGAGCGCAACCCUCGCCCUGUGUUGCCAGCACGUCAUGGUGGGAACUCACGGGGGACCGCCGGGGUCAACUCGGAGGAAGGUGGGGAUGACGUCAGAUCAUCAUGCCCCUUACGUCCAGGGCUUCACGCAUGCUACAAUGGCCGGUACAACGGGAUGCGACACGGCGACGUGGAGCGGAUCCCUGAAAACCGGUCUCAGUUCGGAUUGGAGUCUGCAACCCGACUCCAUGAAGGCGGAGUCGCUAGUAAUCGCGGAUCAGCAACGCCGCGGUGAAUGCGUUCCCGGGCCUUGUACACACCGCCCGUCAAGUCAUGAAAGUGGG
This 1384-nucleotide ribosomal RNA is filed under the name uncultured bacterium. Its description in RNAcentral is "bacterial SSU rRNA". It matches the Rfam family "Bacterial small subunit ribosomal RNA". The record is from RNAcentral.